RNAcentral lists this ribosomal RNA (884 nucleotides) under uncultured bacterium. Its description in RNAcentral is "bacterial SSU rRNA". It matches the Rfam family "Bacterial small subunit ribosomal RNA", at positions 14 to 924 of the family's 1533-position model. The record is from RNAcentral.
UGAUCCUGGCUCAGGACGAACGCUGGCGGUGUGCUUCACACAUGCAAGUCGAACGGAGUAGCAAUACUCAGUGGCGGACGGGUGAGUAACACGUGGGAAUCUACCAUUAGAUGGGGAAUAACAGGCCGAAAGGACUGCUAAUGCCGCAUAUGUAUGUGCCUCGACAGGGGCGUAUAUGAAAGGAGUAAUCCGUCUGAUGAUGAGCCCGCGUCCGAUUAGCUAGUUGGUAAGGUAAAAGCUUACCAAGGCGACGAUCGGUAGGUGGUCUGAGAGGAUGAUCACCCACAAUGGGACUGAGACACGGCCCAUACUCCUACGGGAGGCAGCAGUGGGGAAUUUUACGCAAUGGGGGAAACCCUGACGUAGCGACACCGCGUGAGCGAAGAAGCCCUUUGGGGUGUAAAGCUCUGUCAACAGGAACGAAAAAAAUGACGGUACCUGUGGAGGAAGCAUCGGCUAACUACGUGCCAGCAGCCGCGGUAAGACGUAGGAUGCAAGCGUUGUCCGGAUUUAUUGGGCGUAAAGAGUUCGUAGGCGGUUUGUUAAGCCUGAUGUUAAAGACCGGGGCUCAACCUCGGAAAUGCAUUGGAUACUGGCAGACUGGAGUGCAGUAGAGGCUAGUGGAAUUCCCAGUGUAGCGGUGAAAUGCGUAGAUAUUGGGAAGAACACCGGUGGCGUAGGCGACUAGCUGGGCUGUAACUGACGCUGAGGAACGAAAGCCAGGGGAGCAAAUGGGAUUAGAUACCCCAGUAGUCCUGGCCGUAAACGAUGGAUACUAGGCGUAGUGGGUAUCGACCCCUGCUGUGCCGCAGCUAACGCGAUAAGUAUCCCGCCUGAGUAGUACGGCCGCAAGGUUGAAACUCAAAUGAAUUGACGGAUCCCGC